AAAGUUAUAUAGUAAAUGCUAUGUUUAUCUGGACACUCUGGACACUAACGAGUUUUAGUUGUUACCUUGCAUAGCCACAUACACUCACAUGGACAGAGGCAAUUCUCUGUGCAUUUCCCACAACAUAUGAUCAGUUCUGUUAGAAUUUUUUUUCAACCAUCCAAAAAGGAGGCAGAGAGGCUCCAUCUGAUGGCUUUGUUCUUAAUGUUCAAACCCUCUCUUAAAUAUCUAUUUGAGCAAAAGUCUUCGGGUGAUAAACGUAUUUGGAAAAAGUGUAUAAAACUCUGCAAAACCUAAUUUUGCAAUGAAAGGUCAACUCUGUCAUUUACUUAGCCUCUAUCCAUAAUUGGCUUCUGCUCGUUUAUUAUCACACUGCAUGACUGUACUAUAUAAAAUGCGUCUUUGACUGGCUUUAUAAACAUCACGUUCCAACAAAAACAGCAACAAAGAGUCAAAAAAAUGAGAAUGAUUAAGUAAAUAUUUGGUCAGUAAGGCUCUCUGAGACCCAAAUCAUUUUUUCCCAAUAAGUUCUUACGCUCAACCACCCAACCACAUCCCCACUUCUCCAUCAACCUUUAUGCCCAGAUGUUCUCUUCUAAAAGAGAGCCAAGCGUCACACUCCAUGUUGUCCAUUUUGAAUACUCGUCAGUGAGCACCAUGGGGUCAUCACAAAAAUAGUCCAGGUGUCCUUGCUGUCACUUGUCACCACCACCACCGAAAGUCCAGAUGAGCCCUGGAUUAGUCAACUUUUUUCAGCAUUUGCCUAGCACCACGUUGUGUCUACCUUUGGGGAAGGAGAAAGCAAUUCUAAUUCAGCCCCUCAGAUGUUGUUGGGCAAGUAAUACCUGGAUAGUUAGAAGGAGCUCACCCACAAAUAGAUUUUUUUUUAAUGAUUUUGUACAGGCACCGCCAUCAACUGCCUAUCAAAGCACGAAGAAUAGAUGUCAGUGACUAUUUUUAACGGGUUGGAGUCUAAAAGGCACCUCCUCUCCGUGUGACUUGCAUGGAUUUGGUUCUCGGUUAUGCAAUCCUUGGGGCAAACAUCCCCUUAGACAUGCUGAAGGGACAAGAUGGGAGAUGCUCAUUUCAGUUACCUUUGCCCAGGCUUUAUUUGUUCUGCAGAUGAUAAACUUUGGACUUCUUUACCCAACCAGUCAUCUUGCACAAACAGUAAACACCCUCAAAACUUUCUGUUCCCAUGGGACCCUUGAGAAAACAACAUGAAAAAAAAAAAAGCAUGAUUAAAAUCUACUUUCUUCGGUCAACAUCCUAAGAUUGAGCAAUUUCUCCACAUCUUAAAAGGGACUGUCCUGCGUCAGGUUGAGGGUUAGUAAACUACCUAUUGAUCAAUGAACUGAAAUCAGGAAUAACUGGAGUCAGAAUUCUGAGGUUGCAAAUACUUGUUCUGUAACCAUUUCCUGUUCUUCCAUGUAGCAGCGUGAGGGCCUCAUUCACAUUCAUUCUUUGUAAGCAGUGGUUUCUAACUUUUUAGAUCACGUCCCUCUGCCAAUAAAAAGAUCGUGAGGCAUAUCCAAACUGGGUAUUUUUACUUACAAGGUACACGUGUAUUUCAGUAUUGUGUGCCUCAAAAAAAUACACAUGCCAAAACAAACAAAAAAACCCUUAAGAUGAAAUUUAAAAUUAAAAUAAAGAGAAGAGUUAAUAUCUUCUCUUCAAAUAAAUAGAAGAUUUCUGCACGUCAAUGGAUCAUUUUGGAUUCUCCAUAGGGUAGGAUGUCCUACUUCUGAAUCCAGGGCUUUAAGACUGCGGUGAGCUACCUUUGUCCCAAAUUCAAUCGCCACCUUGCCCUCAUCAAAACCUGUUUUCCAGAAAAGAUCUGCUCUCAGUCAUCGUCAUUUUGUGUGAAAAAGGCCCAUUAUGAUGUUAAUGCUUCCAACUGGAUCUACCUUCUAAGUAGAAGCCUAAUUAUGAGAAGAAAACUUUAGUCCCUGUUAAUGUGAUUAUCAGGAAUGUCAAAAUAAUUCAUGAGAUUUGGAGAAUGGAAAAUGGUUCCUGGUGGCCCUGAUAUCUGGCAAGUUGGGAUGCUCCUGUCUAAGGGAGAGACAGGGGCAGCACCAAACGUUGUAUAUAAAAGGCUUUUAGCGACAGCAAAUUAGGUGGAAGAGGGAAGAGCAGGGAUGACACGAUGGUUAGGAGAUUUUCUUCCAGAGGCCAACCACACGUUUCAACUCAAAGUGUGUGUUCAUUUAGGGAGUCCAACUGGGGCACUAUUUAGACAUUAUACGGAAAGAGCUUAAAUCCUCCAAGCCAUGCUUGUAACUCUCUCACAAUCAAUAAAAACAAAACUUGAUAGUCACCCACAAGGUCAACAUGGAAAUUCAAAGGCUCGGUAGCCUCUAGUUGAAAAGUAAGACUUCUGUAAUUCCAGGGGGUGGGAAAAAUCACUUUUGCCUCAAAUAAUCAAUCACAAGUACUUGCAGACUCAAGUACUUAUGUUUCUCAUGGAUUUCUGAAAAGAAUUUUCCCGGAGGAAAGAUGAGCAACAAUCUAGAUUAUUGUCGUUUCUAUGAGUAUGAAGUUGAGGUGCUUUAAAAAUCUGAGCAGUCCAUUAAAAUACGUAUUUGAUCUAAAUCAUCAAGGUAUUUAUAAAGUAACCUACUUGAUUUUAACCUGUAAGGACAAGAGGCAACUGGAGCUUGGAACAUGUGGAUCAGUGUUGAGAGGUCUCUCCUGUGUGUACAUGUGUAUACAUGCUACAUACAUGUAUGUAUGUUUGUGUGUAGAGGGAAACACCUGCCAGUUUGCCAACCAGUUGGGGAAAGGAGGUGAAAAUGUUAUAAAGUGAUGUAAUGAAAUGUUAUAAAGUGAUGUAUCUAUCAGCAGACACAAAAUAACAACCUCACACAAAACACAUCAAAUACGUAUAUGCUGGCCCAAUGAAGAACAGGAUGUCAUUAAAAUCUAUUGUGAAUUUCCAGAUAAGUAGACAUAGGCAUUUCAGAUAGAUACAGAAAUAGGCAUGAGAAAUGGAAAGAAGUUUAAUUUAGUAACCAUACCCAGGGGACACAAGAUUCGCUAGUGUGAGAGAAACAUGCAUGGGGUGAAGUAGGAGCUACAAGGCCACUAAAACUUGAGUGAAGGGCGGUCAUAGGAGGAGACUUGCCACAUGACAGUGAUGCCACGGUUUAGUUUUGCUUGAACCUGUCUUGUCUUUAAGGCCAAGUACGUGUUAUUGUUGUCAUUUCACUCUACUGACUUUAUUUACUCUAAUAUCGCCUGUGAUGCCUGUUCACACUCCGUGCGAUGGCACUGAGACAUAUAUAACCUAGAAGGCCCAGUAUGGUACGAAUUUCACAGCAGGGAGCUUGACAAGGGUGCCCGGGAAUCCUGUGUUCUCUUGGACCUUUUCAGGUUUGGACCUUUGUCUCUGAAAUGUCAAGGUAUCGCUUGUGUCAUCAUGAGCCCCCUCCCCCAGCCCCUCAUAGCUGUUACCCUGCAUGGACACAAACUGUGCCAAAAACAAUAAGAUCUGAGAAUUGCUGAACAGCACCGAUUCUUCUGUCAACAUUCCUGUCCUGAAAUCUCCUUUUACUUAACGAACCUCAAUCACCUUCCUUUAACGACAAGAGAGAAGAAAACUGAGGCAAAUAACCCAUUCCUUUCCCCCAAAAGACAAUUCCCAGGAGGGAAGCUGAAAGAUCCCGCCCAGCCUAGUUUAUCAGGAGUGUCUGGGUGCCCCUCUUGCUCCGCAACUGUCACACAUUGCUUCAGCUGCAGGAGAUCAGAACUGCCCGAAGAACAGAAGCUCAUCAGAAGCAAAAUCUGACUUUUCAGCUUCUCUUCUAGGCCCUAUUACGAGUUUAAAAAGCUAGAUGCAGCCUCCUGGCUCAGCAGGAAGUCAAUAGGUUAAGCCACAGAUGAAUUUCCCAGUUUUGCUCAGACUAUGUUUUAAAAAAUACAGGGAUGAACCAGCUCAUCAAAUUGGUUAUCAAGCUAUAGAUUAGAGAACCACAAAUUUCAUUCAGUUUGGUGAUUGAAAAAGUCAAAAUGACCAGACCACAAAUGAUCAGAACAGCUGUUUUGCCAGUUUCAGAACCAAAUACACUUGAUAUUGAGAUUUACUGUGUAGCACUUGACUGUAAAAACCAUCACGUCAAACUAAAGAUAAUUAGGCUAGAUUUUAAUCUCCUCGGAGGCAGAGGCAGUGCCCGGUUUUUUCAGCUUUUCCCCAGCACCUAUCAGAGGGCCCGUCACACGGCAGGUGCCUGUGGUAGCCUGGAUUCAGAUGACCUCCAUGGGUUCUCUCCUUCCUUGAAGGCACAAGCCACUCCACUAUUGUGAGGCAGAAUCUAUUUCUCCAGCUCCUGGAAUCUGGGCUGGCUGGUGACUGCUUGGACAAACAGAAGAGAGACGUGAUCUGCACGGCAUCCACAGCCAGGUCCAAAAAAGCUCUGCAACUUCCACUUGGAUUUUUUUUAGAACACUUGUGCUAGAGAAAGCUGGUCACAAGGUAACAAGACCGAUGACCAAAACAACCAACAGGCUCUGAGGAUGCCCAAGCUAAACGUCGCAGACAGAAAGAGAUUCCUGAAAAGCCCAGCGACAGGCACAGAGUGAACGAACCUUUAGGUGACUCUAGCCUUUGCUACCACUGACCGGAACUGUACGAGGAACUCCAGCUGAGCCCAUCCACAUCAAGAACUAGACAUGAUGAUAAUAAAUUACGGCACUAAGUCACUAGGUUUUAGGGUAGCUUAUUAUACAGCAAUAGAUAACUGGAACAGUGUUCAAUGUUUAUUGAAUACAUAAAUUAAUUGAUAAAAGAAGCCACUAAGAAUAAAGGGUUCCCAAGUGAACCCAGGGAGAUCCAUUAAAUAAAUUAUUAAGGUGAUGUCAACAACGGUAGAGACUAUCAGAAAAUUGGACAACUCUGUGGAUAAUUAAGGCCAAGAGGAAAUCUGCUACAGAGGAGAGAAAGUAAUUUUUUUGAGAGUGGAAUUUUCCAGAUUCACUAACCAUCUUGACUGUAUUCAUUAGAUGAUUGCUCAAU
RNAcentral lists this long non-coding RNA (5011 nucleotides) under Sus scrofa (pig). Its description in RNAcentral is "lncRNA (ENSSSCG00015036277.1)". Lineage: Eukaryota; Metazoa; Chordata; Mammalia; Artiodactyla; Suidae. The record is from RNAcentral.